AGUUUUGAGCUAAUUAUAAUUUAAUAUUAGUUAUUUUUAUAAAGGUGUUGUAAAACCUUAUACAAAAUUAUACUUAGGGGUGAUAGGCCUUUCAAAAGCUAAGAUAUCUUGAUUCUAAUUAAAAGUAUAUAGUACAAUAAAUACAACUAGGAAGUGAUUAGGCUUUAUAGAAAUAUAAAUUUAUAAAAAAUUACUUACUACAAUUUAAUAAUUAAGUAUAUAUGUGUAUUAAUAUUAAUAUAUUAUAAUUUAUAUGGAAGAAUUAGAUAAAAUAAAGUUUAUAUUUUUUUGUAAUAAUGUUUAUAUUAGUAUUAAAAAAUUAAAUUUAUAUGAUGAACUCGGCAAUAAUGCUUUCUCAACUGUUUAUCAAAAACAUAACUAUGUGAAUUAAAUACAUAGCGGUUUCUGCUCAAUGAUAAUUUAAAUAGCCGCAGUAUACUGACUGUGCAAAGGUAGCAUAAUCAAUUGACUUAUAAUUGAAGUCUAGAAUGAAUGAAAAUAAUGGGAAGCCACUAUAUUAUUAUAAUAUAUAUAAAUUAUUUAUGAAGUGAAAAUACUUCUAUAAACAUAAUAGACGAGAAGACCCUAGAAAAUUUAAGUAAUUAAAAUUAUAUUUAAGAAAUUUUUUGUUGGGGCGACAAAGUAGCAUAGUUUUAACCUACUUAUAUAUAUACUUGCACUUUUUUUAUUGAUUGAAUAAUUUACUCUAGGGAUAACAGCAUAAUAUAUUUAAGUUUAUGACCUCGAUGUUGGACUAGGAAAUAAAUAACUUAAAAGGUUUUUUAUCUUGCUCUGUUCGAGCAUUAAACUCCUACAUGAUC
Molecule: ribosomal RNA, 821 nt
Filed under: Mandarina sp. A AD-2005
Lineage: Eukaryota; Metazoa; Mollusca; Gastropoda; Stylommatophora; Camaenidae
Description: partial 16S ribosomal RNA
Source: RNAcentral